AACGAACGCUGGCGGCAUGCCUAACACAUGCAAGUCGAACGAGACCUUCGGGUCUAGUGGCGCACGGGUGCGUAACGCGUGGGAACCUGCCCUUAGGUUCGGAAUAACUCCCCGAAAGGGGUGCUAAUACCGGAUAAUGUCUUCGGACCAAAGAUUUAUCGCCUUUGGAUGGGCCCGCGUUGGAUUAGCUAGUUGGUAGGGUAAAAGCCUACCAAGGCGACGAUCCAUAGCUGGUCUGAGAGGAUGAUCAGCCACACUGGGACUGAGACACGGCCCAGGCUCCUACGGGAGGCAGCAGUGGGGAAUAUUGGACAAUGGGCGAAAGCCUGAUCCGGCAAUGCCGCGUGAGUGAUGAAGGCCUUAGGGUUGUAAAGCUCUUUUACCCGGGAUGAUAAUGACAGUACCGGGAGAAUAAGCUCCGGCUAACUCCGUG
RNAcentral lists this ribosomal RNA (433 nucleotides) under uncultured bacterium. RNAcentral's name for it is "partial 16S ribosomal RNA". It matches the Rfam family "Bacterial small subunit ribosomal RNA", at positions 29 to 507 of the family's 1533-position model. The record is from RNAcentral.